Molecule: unclassified non-coding RNA, 392 nt
Filed under: fungal sp.
Lineage: Eukaryota; Fungi
Description: partial internal transcribed spacer region
Rfam family: Eukaryotic small subunit ribosomal RNA (bases 1-46)
Source: RNAcentral
AAGUCGUAACAAGGUUUCCGUAGGUGAACCUGCGGAAGGAUCAUUAUCAUAACGUAUCCACGUAUAAACCAAUCUUUAAUGUGAAAUGUAAUGUAAAACACCUUUGAUAGUCAAUGAUUGCUAUUUAGUUUCUACUUCUUAUUGAUUAAGGGAACUAGAUGGACUUGAUCUUUACCGAUCUAGCAUUGAUUAUUGAAUGUAAUUAUUAAUCAAUUUAUUAACCCAUUGAACCGAUUAACUUAUUAUUAGUUAUUCAUUUCUUUUAUUGUGAACUGAAUUGUUCUUUACUCUUCGGGUAAUACCAAAGAGAUGGAAUUAUAUUUACGAAACAUAAAUUAUGAACAACUCUUAGCAACGGAUAUCUUGGUUCUCGUAACGAGGAAGAACGCAGC